ACUACAUCUUGUCGGAUGCGACCUUCUUCUUGGCAAGCCUUUUCUCUAGCUUGGGAGCCAUGAAAAUCUUCGGUGUUCUUCCUCUCGUUGCUACAACAUGACUCUAUCCACCACGUAUGCCAGCUGAAUCCCCUGGGGAGUUGCCUUCCUGCUUGUGCUCCUCCUCUUCAUGAUUUCUUAUCAAUCCUAUUUUCGCGAACUCUGGUUCCCCUUCUCGCCAGAUGAUUCAUUCAAGCUCAAUAUGAUCCAGAAACGCAUGUUCUCUCUUUGUCAUCUAAAAGGAUUCAGAUCCAGAAACAUUACAUUAGAAGCAGUGUCGGCAACCUCUCCUCCGCCGUACACCGCUUCCUUCUCAAACAGCUCCACCAGUCCAAAUCCCCAAAUGGCAAGGAGCUACACAGCGACCAAGCAGUCCGAGAACUAUUUGUCGAAGCUCUAACCGUGUGUGGCAGAUGCGACACAGCUUGGGCCAAGAGAUAAAGGAGAGAGAGAGAGAUUUGAGGAAGAAAAAAGAUGAAGGAGUCGGCAGGCAAAUUCAUUUCCCCUUCUCCAUCUACUCCAAGUCAUUUACUUCAAUAUAAUUACUCCUCUUCAUUAUUGGUAUAUUUCCGUUGGCAAUGUUUCAAUCAUUGAAAUCAUUCAUGUUUAAUUUAUAAUCUGUUAUAAGCAUGUCUCAAUUAUAUCAGUUUGUGGUAAGAAUGUUGAAGCCAUAAGCCCUUCAAGCGUCCACUCCUUGGAACACGAGCACUGAGGCAACUCUGAUGCUGCUGCUAGGAAGGAUUCCAAGGAAGUGAGGAGUGCUAGACAUGCUUAACAUGCAUUGUGUGACUAUGAGAGGCAAUGGGCUGGAGUGAAAAUUUUGAUUUGGACUUUUGAUAUUCAAACAGACUAAGACGACUGAACAAAGAAAAAGUCAUUUGAAAUUGCUUUUUAUACGAUGUUAUUUGGGAACUUUGUGGCAGUAAAAACACUUUGUUUCAUUCCUUUGGUGUUGAUUACUUUGAUUUGUA
Ipomoea nil (Japanese morning glory) is the source of this 1010-nucleotide long non-coding RNA. RefSeq lists it as uncharacterized. The transcript has 2 exons. Lineage: Eukaryota; Viridiplantae; Streptophyta; Magnoliopsida; Solanales; Convolvulaceae. The record is from RefSeq and is a predicted model, not a curated record.